CCCAGAAUUCGUUGUGUUACUGUGAGAGGAGGAGGAACCACAGAGCUUGAAUUGUCACUUUUUAUGUUCUCUGUUUAAUAUUUCAGACCAUUAA
Polypterus senegalus (gray bichir) is the source of this 94-nucleotide long non-coding RNA. RefSeq lists it as uncharacterized. Lineage: Eukaryota; Metazoa; Chordata; Cladistia; Polypteriformes; Polypteridae. The record is from RefSeq and is a predicted model, not a curated record. The transcript is spliced from 2 exons.